RNAcentral lists this ribosomal RNA (510 nucleotides) under uncultured bacterium. Its description in RNAcentral is "bacterial SSU rRNA". It matches the Rfam family "Bacterial small subunit ribosomal RNA", at positions 8 to 518 of the family's 1533-position model. The record is from RNAcentral.
AGAGUUUGAUUAUGGCUCAGGAUGAACGCUGGCGGCGUGCUUAACACAUGCAAGUCGAACGGAGUUUUUAACGGAAGUUUCGGAUGGAAGUUUAGAAACUUAGUGGCGGACGGGUGAGUAACGCGUGGGUAACCUGCCUCAUACAGGGGGAUAACAGUUAGAAAUGACUGCUAACACCGCAUAAUAUAGCGAAACCGCAUGAUUUUUGCUAUCAAAUAUUUAUAGGUAUGAGAUGGGCCCGCGUCUGAUUAGCUAGUUGGUGGGGUAAAAGCCUACCAAGGCGACGAUCAGUAGCCGGCUUGAGAGAGUGACCGGCCACAUUGGGACUGAGACACGGCCCAAACUCCUACGGGAGGCAGCAGUGGGGAAUAUUGGACAAUGGGGGAAACCCUGAUCCAGCGAACCGCCGCGUGAGUGAAGAAGUAUUUCGGUAUGUAAAGCUCUAUCAGCAGGGAAGAUAAUGACAGUACCUGACUAAGAAGCCCCGGCUAACUACGUGCCAGCAGCCGC